RNAcentral lists this transfer RNA (62 nucleotides) under Ictidomys tridecemlineatus (thirteen-lined ground squirrel). RNAcentral describes it as "Spermophilus tridecemlineatus (thirteen-lined ground squirrel) tRNA". It matches the Rfam family "tRNA", at positions 6 to 65 of the family's 71-position model. Rfam says of the family: Transfer RNA (tRNA) molecules are approximately 80 nucleotides in length. Their secondary structure includes four short double-helical elements and three loops (D, anti-codon, and T loops). RNAcentral also lists the same sequence under 1 other name. The record is from Rfam by way of RNAcentral. Lineage: Eukaryota; Metazoa; Chordata; Mammalia; Rodentia; Sciuridae.
UAUAUCUCAGUUGGUAGAGUGCUUGCCUUGCAUGCACAAGACCCUGGGUUCAAUUCCCAGUA